This 433-nucleotide ribosomal RNA is filed under the name uncultured bacterium. Its description in RNAcentral is "partial 16S ribosomal RNA". It matches the Rfam family "Bacterial small subunit ribosomal RNA", at positions 29 to 507 of the family's 1533-position model. The record is from RNAcentral.
AACGAACGCUGGCGGCAUGCCUAACACAUGCAAGUCGAACGAGAGCUGCGGGUCUAGUGGCGCACGGAUGCGUGACGGGGUGGAAACUGCCCUUAAGUUCGGAAUAACUCCCCGAAAGGGGUGCUAAUACGGGCUAAUGUCUUCGGACCAAAGAUUUAGCGCCUUUGGAUGAGCCCGCGUUGGAUUAGCUAGUUGGUAGGGUAAAAGCCUACCAAGGCGACGAUCCAUAGCUGGUCUGAGAGGAUGAUCAGCCACACUGGUACGGAGACACGGCCCAGACUACUACGGGAGGCAGCAGUGGGGAAUAUUGGACAACGGGCGAAAGCAUGAUCCAGCACUGCCGGGAGAGUGAUGAAGGCCUUAGGGUUGUAAAGCUCUUUUACCCCGGAUGAUAAUGACAGUACCGGGAGAAUAAGCACCGGCUAACUCCGUG